GCGGGUAUAGUCUAGCCUGGUAGGACACAAGCUUGCCAAGCUUGUAGCUCGGGUUCAAAUCCCGGUGCCCGCA
This 73-nucleotide transfer RNA is filed under the name Thermoplasmata archaeon. RNAcentral describes it as "tRNA-Gly". It matches the Rfam family "tRNA". Rfam says of the family: Transfer RNA (tRNA) molecules are approximately 80 nucleotides in length. Their secondary structure includes four short double-helical elements and three loops (D, anti-codon, and T loops). Lineage: Archaea; Methanobacteriati; Thermoplasmatota; Thermoplasmata. The record is from RNAcentral. RNAcentral also lists the same sequence under 2 other names.